RNAcentral lists this ribosomal RNA (492 nucleotides) under uncultured bacterium. Its description in RNAcentral is "partial 16S ribosomal RNA". It matches the Rfam family "Bacterial small subunit ribosomal RNA", at positions 29 to 507 of the family's 1533-position model. The record is from RNAcentral.
AGUGAACGCUGGCGGUAGGCCUAACACAUGCAAGUCGAACGGCAGCACAGUAAGAGCUUGCUCUUACGGGUGGCGAGUGGCGGACGGGUGAGGAAUACAUCGGAAUCUACUUUUUCGUGGGGGAUAACGUAGGGAAACUUACGCUAAUACCGCAUACGACCUACGGCUGAAAGCAGGGGAUCUUCGGACCUUGCGCGUUUGAAUGAGCCGAUGUCGGAUUAGCUAGUUGGCGGGGUAAAGGCCCACCAAGGCGACGAUCCGUAGCUGGUCUGAGAGGAUGAUCAGCCACACUGGAACUGAGACACGGUCCAGACUCCUACGGGAGGCAGCAGUGGGGAAUAUUGGACAAUGGGCGCAAGCCUGAUCCAGCCAUACCGCGUGGGUGAAGAAGGCCUUCGGGUUGUAAAGCCCUUUUGUUGGGAAAGAAAAGCAGCAGGUUAAUACCCCGCUGUUCUGACGGUACCCAAAGAAUAAGCACCGGCUAACUUCGUG